GCCAGGCGCAGUGGUGCGUGCCUGUACUCCCAGCUACUGGGGAGGCUGAGGCAGAAGAAUUGCUUGAACCCAGGAAGCAGAGGUUGCAGUGAGUCGAGAUCACGCCACUGCACUCCAGCCUGGGUGACAGAGCAAGACUCUGUCUCAA
RNAcentral lists this non-coding RNA (148 nucleotides) under Homo sapiens (human). The record is from Rfam by way of RNAcentral. Lineage: Eukaryota; Metazoa; Chordata; Mammalia; Primates; Hominidae.